CGCGUAGGCGGCACUGCAAGUCAGUUGUGAAAUCUCCGGGCUUAACUCGGAACGGUCAAUUGAUACUGCAGGGCUAGAGUGCAGAAGGGGCAACUGGAAUUCUCGGUGUAGCGGUGAAAUGCGUAGAUAUCGAGAGGAACACCUGCGGCGAAGGCGGGUUGCUGGGCUGACACUGACGCUGCAGCGCGAAAGCCAGGGGAGCGAACG
RNAcentral lists this ribosomal RNA (207 nucleotides) under uncultured bacterium. Its description in RNAcentral is "partial 16S ribosomal RNA". It matches the Rfam family "Bacterial small subunit ribosomal RNA", at positions 568 to 774 of the family's 1533-position model. The record is from RNAcentral.